GGCGACAUAGCUCAGUGGGGAAGAGUCGUUGUCUGGCAGUCAGAGGGUUGCCGGUUCGAUCCCUGCCCUGGGCG
This 74-nucleotide transfer RNA is filed under the name Anguilla anguilla (European eel). Its description in RNAcentral is "tRNA-OTHER". Lineage: Eukaryota; Metazoa; Chordata; Actinopteri; Anguilliformes; Anguillidae. The record is from RNAcentral.